Molecule: ribosomal RNA, 518 nt
Filed under: uncultured bacterium
Lineage: Bacteria
Description: bacterial SSU rRNA
Rfam family: Bacterial small subunit ribosomal RNA
Source: RNAcentral
GGCUCAGAACGAACGCUGGCGGCGUGCUUAACACAUGCAAGUCGAACGCGAAAGGGACUUCGGUCCUGAGUAAAGUGGCGCACGGGUGAGUAACGCGUAGAUAACCUGUCUUUAUGUCUGGAAUAAUACGCCGAAAGGGGUACUAAUACCGGAUAUUUUUGCAUUGCAUAAGCAGUGUAAGCAAAGGUGGCCUCUGACAUAAGCUACUGCAUAAAGAGGGGUCUGCGUACCAUUAGCUAGUAGGUGGGGUAAAGGCCUACCUAGGCUACGAUGGUUAGCGGGUCUGAGAGGAUGAUCCGCCACACUGGCACUGGAACACGGGCCAGACUCCUACGGGAGGCAGCAGUGAGGAAUAUUGCGCAAUGGGGGCAACCCUGACGCAGCGACGCCGCGUGAGUGAGGAAGGCCUUCGGGUCGUAAAGCUCUGUCAAAGGGAAAGAAGUGCAUGGUGGUUAAUACCUGCCAUGUUUGACGGUACCCUUAAAGGAAGCACCGGCUAACUCCGUGCCAGCCGCAGC